Molecule: long non-coding RNA, 497 nt
Organism: Sinocyclocheilus grahami
Lineage: Eukaryota; Metazoa; Chordata; Actinopteri; Cypriniformes; Cyprinidae
Exons: 3
Source: RefSeq, a predicted model, not a curated record
UACCCCCCUGUAUGGUUAAGACUAUGGAUAAACUAUUUUGCAGAUUACACUGCUAAAUUAUAGUAGCUGGAGGUAGAAAGCGGUAUCCAGAUUGGAACGUGCUCUGAAUCUGGCGCUUUCCCACCACUCAUACGUCAUCAUUGCGCGCCUGAACGAGAAUCACAAAGCGGCAUUUCUUUCCCAUUGAAUGGGCAGUAGAAAAAAAACAGCGUAGAAUAGACACACUAACCUCUCGGUUAAUUCGUUACAGGAUAUUAUUAAAAUCGGAAAUAUUUAGAAAUGAUUGAUACCAUCGAAAAAGAAGACAAUAUUAUCAGCGAGGAGGAGGCUGCACAAUAUGAUCGACAGAUUCGCCUUUGGGGUCUCGAUGCUCAAAAGAGACUUAGGGGAUCACGGGUACUUCUUGUUGGUCUCCGGGGUCUUGGUGCAGAAGUAGCAAAGAACCUUAUUUUGGCUGGGGUCAAAGGACUGACUCUCCUGGACCAUGAGCAGGUAUC